Molecule: non-coding RNA, 48 nt
Filed under: Schistosoma curassoni
Lineage: Eukaryota; Metazoa; Platyhelminthes; Trematoda; Strigeidida; Schistosomatidae
Source: RNAcentral
AUCCGGUUGACGAGUCCGAAAUAAGACGAAACGUUCGUCGAAUUGGAU